UACGUAGGGUGCAAGCGUUGUUCGGAAUCAUUGGGCGUAAAGCGCGUGUAGGUGGCUAGACAAGUCGGGUGUGAAAGCCCAGAGCUCAACUCUGGAAGUGCAUUCGAAACUAGCUGGCUAGAAGAUGGUAGAGGAAGGUGGAAUUCCAAGUGUAGAGGUGAAAUUCGUAGAUAUUUGGAGGAAUACCGGCGGCGAAGGCGGCCUUCUGGGCCAUUCUUGACACUGAGACGCGAAAGCGUGGGUAGCAAACAGG
RNAcentral lists this ribosomal RNA (253 nucleotides) under uncultured bacterium. RNAcentral describes it as "partial 16S ribosomal RNA". It matches the Rfam family "Bacterial small subunit ribosomal RNA", at positions 524 to 776 of the family's 1533-position model. The record is from RNAcentral.